RNAcentral lists this ribosomal RNA (497 nucleotides) under uncultured bacterium. RNAcentral's name for it is "partial 16S ribosomal RNA". It matches the Rfam family "Bacterial small subunit ribosomal RNA", at positions 28 to 507 of the family's 1533-position model. The record is from RNAcentral.
GAUGAACGCUGGCGGCGUGCCUAAUACAUGCAAGUCGAGCGAACAGACGAGGAGCUUGCUCCUCUGACGUUAGCGGCGGACGGGUGAGUAACACGUGGAUAACCUACCUAUAAGACUGGGAUCACUUCGGGAAACCGGAGCUAAUACCGGAUAAUAUAUUGAACCGCAUGGUUCAAUAGUGAAAGACGGUUUUGCUGUCACUUCUAGAUGGAUCCGCGCCGCAUUAGCUAGUUGGUAAGGUAACGGCUUACCAAGGCGACGAUGCGUAGCCGACCUGAGAGGGUGAUCGGCCACACUGGAACGGAGACAAGGUCCAGACUACUACGGGAGGCAGCAGUAGGGAAUCUUCCGCAAUGGGCGAAAGCUUGACGGAGCAACGCCGCGUGAGUGAUGAAGGUCUUCGGAUCGUAAAACUCGGUUAUGAGGGAAGAACAAAUGUGUAAGGAAAUAUGCACGUCUUGACGGUACCUAAUCAGAAAGCCACGGCUAACUACGUG